Long non-coding RNA from Oxyura jamaicensis (ruddy duck), 356 nucleotides. RefSeq lists it as uncharacterized. The transcript is spliced from 3 exons. The record is from RefSeq and is a predicted model, not a curated record. NCBI's taxonomy places the organism in Eukaryota, Metazoa, Chordata, Aves, Anseriformes, Anatidae.
GGCUGGAGCAGGACCAGGUAUGUGAAGGGAGGAAAGUGAGGGAUCAAAAAAAUAAGUUCCUAGUGCUCCUCCCAGCAGACAACAUAGGAAUGGGACUCUUACCAGGGGAACAUUGAACUGGAGCGAGUUCACAGUAAGGCUAUGAUUUAAGAUGCAAACAGAUGUUGGCCAGUGAUGCGGCUGCAGAAGAUGAACAGGUGAUGAAUCAGGAGAGCUUUGCAUAGUACAAAGGUGCCAUCUUCAGACAAUGAGAUGGAGUCAUGUAGCUCAGUGAGAUUUGCAAAACAGGGAAUGUUUAUACCACGAUGUUUCCUAACCUUUAUGUUCAGCCUCUUCAAAACUACCAUUUCUUGCUG